ACCCUUCCAGGCUUUUUCCUGCAGGAGCCCAUCUUUAUUUACUUUCUGGAUUUUCCAAAAGUAGUUUGAAGGGACUUACACUUUCUAUUUCUCCUGAAAAGUUGAGAAAGAAAAACCAUAAAAGUAAUUGUCAUUGAAGGUUCUUAACAAAUAUGUUCUAUAGAAAUCAUGAAGAUAAAGUCACUACUUAAUUUUUAUCUUCUGAAUGUUAUUGUACAACCUCUGACUGGAUUCAAUGAUAAAAUCUGCUUUGAUUCUCAAACGGUUCUUCAGUCUACUAUUGUUGGAAGGCUUUAUGAAGAUGUGAUCAUUCCUUGCUCAUUUAAGAUAGGGUCUGGCGUAGUGAUUCACUGGAUGAAAGAUGAAAAGUAUUUACACAGCUUCUUCAAAUAUGGUGACUACCUGAACAACCAAGACUCCAUUUAUAACAACAGGACAUCCCUUUUCGGCAAUGAAAUCAACAAUGGAAAUGCCUCACUAAAACUUAGGAGAUUAAACCUGCAAGAUGAAGGAGUUUAUAAGUGUUAUACAUCAACAAUAGAUAAUGCACAAUGUUCAAACAUAGACCUGAAGUUGGGAGCUUUCAUCACUCCUGCAAUAGAAUACCAAGAACAGGAUAGAGUUGACUAUUUAACAUGCUGUUUGUUUGGAGCUUAUCCUUCCCCAAAUAUAACAUGGACAGAAAACAAUACAAUAAACACAAAAAGCAUCAUAAAAGUAUCAUCUUAUCCUCCUUUCUUUGUUAAAAGUCAACUCAAAAUCACCAACUCAAAUUCCUCUUACCAAUGUAUUAUUGAAAAUUCAGUACUGAAUCAAAGAUGGACUGGAAAAUGGAAAAGUAAAGAUACUUAUUUAACAACAGAAGGUAAAAAAGUUUUAUUCCUAUGUGAACUUAAGAAUGAGGAUUUUUCACCGGAGAAAAAUAUAAAUGUUAGUUGGUAUAGAGUAAAAAAUGCAUCCUCCACAAUUUUGGCAUCCUUUUCAAGAUCUUCAGGUAGCAUGGUCUUUGAUAAUCGAUUCACUUGGACCAAGGAUAUGAUGCAUGAAAGGAGUAACUUCUCUUUGACUUUAACACAUCCUAUUCAAUCAGAUAGUGGGAAAUACCUCUGCAACAUUUCAUCUAUAGACUCUACUCAGCUCAUGAUACAAUUUUUGACAGUUGAGCCACUUCCAGAAAAGUCUUCCUCCAACCUAAUUGUUUCUAUUACAGUAUCAGUGACAAUCAUAUCCGUGUUACUGAUCGGUAUUGGUAUUGUGAGAUUACAUCAUUCCGUUUCUUCUGUUUCUCUAAACAAUACUCAACAGAAUGUGUAGGAUUUUGGAGUAACAGCGUACACUUGUAUUAUUGAUUCAAAUUUUGUGAAUGGCCAGGAAAUUAGACAAGUACUGAGAGUGUUCAGGAAGAGGAGGUCUAAUUCACAACACGGAUUUGCUCCUGCAAACCAAGAAGAGAUACAG
RNA transcript from Sarcophilus harrisii (Tasmanian devil), 1458 nucleotides. It is a transcript of the gene named HERV-H LTR-associating 2, with no coding region annotated. Lineage: Eukaryota; Metazoa; Chordata; Mammalia; Dasyuromorphia; Dasyuridae. The record is from RefSeq and is a predicted model, not a curated record. The transcript has 8 exons.